GCUUAGCCCUAAAUCCAAAUGCUUAACUUACCUAAGCAUUCGCCCGAGAACUACGAGCGCAAACGCUUAAAACUCUAAGGACUUGGCGGUGCCCCAAACCCACCUAGAGGAGCCUGUUCUAUAAUCGAUACUCCACGAUACACCUAACCAUCUCUUGCCCCAACAGCCUACAUACCGCCGUCGCCAGCCCACCUAUUGAAAGUACAACAGCGGGCAUAAUAGUUCCCCCACUAGCAAGACAGGUCAAGGUAUAGCUCAUGAGAUGGAAGAAAUGGGCUACAUUUUCUAACAUAGAACACCCCUUUUAACUCACGAAAGAGGGAAUGAAACACCCUCUGAAGGUGGAUUUAGUAGUAAAGUGGAACCAGAAAAUCCACUUUAAACCGGCUCUGGAGC
RNAcentral lists this ribosomal RNA (396 nucleotides) under Crypturellus tataupa. Its description in RNAcentral is "partial 12S ribosomal RNA". It matches the Rfam family "Bacterial small subunit ribosomal RNA", at positions 794 to 1380 of the family's 1533-position model. The record is from RNAcentral. Lineage: Eukaryota; Metazoa; Chordata; Aves; Tinamiformes; Tinamidae.